RNAcentral lists this ribosomal RNA (856 nucleotides) under Salmonella enterica. Its description in RNAcentral is "partial 23S ribosomal RNA". It matches the Rfam family "Bacterial large subunit ribosomal RNA", at positions 434 to 1190 of the family's 2925-position model. The record is from RNAcentral. Lineage: Bacteria; Pseudomonadati; Pseudomonadota; Gammaproteobacteria; Enterobacterales; Enterobacteriaceae.
CUGUCUGAAUAUGGGGGGACCAUCCUCCAAGGCUAAAUACUCCUGACUGACCGAUAGUGAACCAGUACCGUGAGGGAAAGGCGAAAAGAACCCCGGCGAGGGGAGUGAAAAAGAACCUGAAACCGUGUACGUACAAGCAGUGGGAGCCCCACCACUAAGCCAGUGGUGAACUCCACAUACGCAUCCUUUGCUGAGGAGACGGUUAACGGAGCGAAAGCGACGUUCAACCUCAAAACAAGCAGAGGGGGCUUAGUGGUGGGGUGACUGCGUACCUUUUGUAUAAUGGGUCAGCGACUUAUAUUCUGUAGCAAGGUUAACCGAAUAGGGGAGCCGGAGGGAAACCGAGUCUUAAUUGGGCGUUAAGUUGCAGGGUAUAGACCCGAAACCCGGUGAUCUAGCCAUGGGCAGGUUGAAGGUUGGGUAACACUAACUGGAGGACCGAACCGACUAAUGUUGAAAAAUUAGCGGAUGACCUGUGGCUGGGGGUGAAAGGCCAAUCAAACCGGGAGAUAGCUGGUUCUCCCCGAAAGCUAUUUAGGUAGCGCCUCGUGAAUUCAUCUCCGGGGGUAGAGCACUGUUUCGGCUAGGGGGCCAUCCCGGCUUACCAACCCGAUGCAAACUGCGAAUACCGGAGAAUGUUAUCACGGGAGACACACGGCGGGUGCUAACGUCCGUCGUGAAGAGGGAAACAACCCAGACCGCCAGCUAAGGUCCCAAAGUCAUGGUUAAGUGGGAAACGAUGUGGGAAGGCCCAGACAGCCAGGAUGUUGGCUUAGAAGCAGCCAUCAUUUAAAGAAAGCGUAAUAGCUCACUGGUCGAGUCGGCCUGCGCGGAAGAUGUAACGGGGCUAAACCAU